Molecule: ribosomal RNA, 439 nt
Filed under: Ligilactobacillus salivarius
Lineage: Bacteria; Bacillati; Bacillota; Bacilli; Lactobacillales; Lactobacillaceae
Description: bacterial SSU rRNA
Rfam family: Bacterial small subunit ribosomal RNA
Source: RNAcentral
AGAGUUUGAUCCUGGCUCAGGACGAACGCUGGCGGCGUGCCUAAUACAUGCAAGUCGAACGAAACUUUCUUACACCGAAUGCUUGCAUUCACCGUAAGAAGUUGAGUGGCGGACGGGUGAGUAACACGUGGGUAACCUGCCUAAAAGAAGGGGAUAACACUUGGAAACAGGUGCUAAUACCGUAUAUCUCUAAGGGUCGCAUGAUCCUUAGAUGAAAGAUGGUUCUGCUAUCGCUUUUAGAUGGACCCGCGGCGUAUUAACUAGUUGGUGGGGUAACGGCCUACCAAGGUGAUGAUACGUAGCCGAACUGAGAGGUUGAUCGGCCACAUUGGGACUGAGACACGGCCCAAACUCCUACGGGAGGCAGCAGUAGGGAAUCUUCCACAAUGGACGCAAGUCUGAUGGAGCAACGCCGCGUGAGUGAAGAAGGUCUUCGGAU